RNAcentral lists this ribosomal RNA (463 nucleotides) under uncultured prokaryote. RNAcentral describes it as "partial 16S ribosomal RNA". The record is from RNAcentral.
CCCUAUGGGGUGCAGCAGGUCGUGCCGAUGGACGUGGUGGAUGACAUGACCUCCUUCGUCAUGAGCAGCGCGACGGUCAUCAACGACAUCGUCCUCGUGACAGGGGUGCUCAGGAGGACCUACGGCGAUCCCCUGCACGUGUACAUGGUCGGGCCGGAGGAGUUCACCGCGGGCAAGGAACUGGCCAUCCGCCCGGAGGACACCGAUAAAGUGGGCGGCAAGCUGCACCUCUUCGACGGCAAGACCUGGUACGUGGGCGCGGGUUUGCGCUUUUACGCGGAGCAGACCGCUUACCUGGGCGUGGACAACCCCGCGCUCUCGGUUUCCAAGGAAGACCUGCGGGACUUGGUCCUCAGGGGCUCACCCAACAACCCCUACUCCCUCAACCUGAAGCUCUUCCAUGACUUUACCCACCCCGCUUUCCGCCCGGGGGCCCAGGCCAGGCUGGAAUGGGCGGGAGGGC